AGGAAAGUCUUUGGCAGACAAGCUGCCUUCAUCACACGCGAAUGAGAGAGAAAGAGAGUUUGAGGCUCUUGUGGAAGUUAGAGAGGGAAAAAGCGUGAGCUCUCUGCAAGCGUUCAACCAUGGCUGUUGGGAGGAGAAGAGGAGAAGAUCUGCACAAAGGCUUCACGAAAGGUUUGCUUGGAGAUUUCACACUCAACCUAACUUCCCCCAGAUCAAAACCCUGAGCACCAGGUCAUUACCAAACUUCCGCCACGACCUCCUCUGCCUACUCCCUCUCCGCUCUGCCACUCUCCCGUCCCCGAGUCGCCGAUGUUAGAAGCGGCUCCUGGACUAGAUCCAUAGGUUUUCCGCUUCUUUCUCGUCAUCGAACGGCAUCGUUUCAAAGCUCUGGAAGGUUCUUCAGUGGUGGCAGGAGUAGUCGGCCAAGCGACGUCGUUCUAGUGCAGAAUACGACUUGGAAGGGGACCGAAUCGGCGAAGGGAUCAGCAAAAUGUUUCCUUGGCUUUCAUGAUGGGGGGAUCAAGGAGGCAAACAGAUCAUGGAGGAGGCAUGGGGAAAUAAAUGAAGUUGGCUGGAGUGUCGUGUGGGGGAACACCAAAUGCUGAUGGAUCAUAAUUACCUGGGAUAUUUGAUAUGGUGAUUUUUUUCAUAGUAGAUGGUACGAAGAAAGAUGGUUAAAAAUUAAGUAACACAUAAAUCUUAAAACUGUAAAUUCUGAAUUUUAUGGAAAGAUGCAAGAGUGUUUAUAGAAAUAGAUAAGCAUAUAAGCCUUAAUCUUGCUUUUCCUAUUCAAUUAUGACAAUUGAUAUAUAACUAAGUUUUCUUUUGAUAGUUAAUUUAGAAAGAAAGAAAUUGUCAACAAUAUUGUUGAAAAGGUUAUUAUUCCUUCAUGUGUGCAAUUUUUGUUUGAUCUAAAACUCAUUGCAACUUCUGACUCAUAUUACUGGCGGUAGUUCUUGUCAAGUGAUUUUGUUGUGAUGCUUUUUCAUUAGGAUGGUUUUGUGGAUGGAUGGAAGUUGGAGUAACCAUGUAAUACAUAUAUCUGCUAUAAAUAAAAAAAAUGGUAUAAAAGGCUCAGGCAAAUUUUUCUCUCUAGUUGUAAUAAUCUUUUCUGAAGAUUAAGUUUAUGGAUAAAGAUUGAGUCAAAUAAUGCUGUAUCAUGGCAUAGGUGAUUUGUGAAACGGAUUUUGCAUCCAGACAUAAUAAUACAACUAUAUAUUUCUUUAGGAUGAGGACCUUCUUGUUGAUAAUUUUAAUCCAAAAAGGAAAAUGGUUUUUUUGCUUCCUUUUAUAAAAUUUCUCCAAGAAUAUUGUUGACAAUUUCUUUUCAACAAUAUUGUUGCCAAUUUCUUUCUGCUUAAGGUCCUAAAUGAUUCUGCAAGCAAUCAAAUUCACGAUCAAUAGAAAACUUAGUUAUGUAUCAAUUAUCAUAAUUAGACAGUGGCAAGAAGAUUAAGGGCUUAUAUGCAUACAUGUGGAUAACUAUCUAUUUCUAUAAAUACUUUUGCAUCUCUCCAUGUUCAGAAUUGCCAACUUUAAGAUUUAUGUUUUCCUUGACUUCUAACCAUCUUUUUUCGGAUCAUCUGUCAUUGAAAAAUAAAAAUCACCGUAUUAAAUAUUUUAUGCAAUUAUGAGAGUUAUUGACACUUAUCCUAUCCACCUGUUUCUUGAGAACAACCAGGCUUUUGGUGUGCAUGAGAUUGAGGAAGAAUUCCAUUUGAAGGAGGUAUUUAUCUAUUGUUAAAGAAGAGGGUCUUGAGAUAUCUCAGCCGGCUCUGGAUCCUACCAAAUCUGAGGUACAUCAUCCAGAGUCCAUAAAGCGGGAUCAAAACUGCACAGGUUGACCUUAUUUUUCUAACCUUUUGCAAUAAACAUGUUCCACUGGUAAAUUCGCACCAUAUUAAAAUUACAACCAAUAUGGCACUCUAUUAACUAUCUUAGGUAUUGUAUAGUUCCUUGUCCUUUUGGGGUUUCAUUUAAAAAAUAUGUGCAUACUACACACAGCGUCUCCAUAAGGUGUACUACAGAAAAAUGUGCCCUAACAUACCCUUGCUAUUUACGUUACCAAUGUAUAUGAAUAGAGUGGUCCUAAUAUAGGGGACCUUUCAAAGAACUACAUUGGACAUAUGACCUUCCUGUAUGCUUUUUCAGCUUAUUUCAAUUGAAUACAUAAAGAAAAAAAACUUGUCACAGUAAAAUUUUUAAAGUUAUUUGAGUAAAUUUCAUAAUUGAGUUUGUGAAUAAGUUCUCAUAUGAUAAAAAUUUAUAUAAUUUAAUGGAGUUGCUUACUCUAACACAGCCUUAAUUGAGUAUGCGCCUACAAUUAUUAGAACACAACCGUUGUAAAACUGUCUUAAAUGUUAACAUUGAAGAGAUUCACCUGCAAAGCCGAGUGGAGUGUCGUAGUGUGGAACCACCAGGAUGCAGGCUCUUAGCAAAUUGAUAUUCUAUAUUAAUUAAUGAUAUAAAUAGCGUAGUCUUUCCAAGGCAUGAUCUAUUAUUACCUUACUAACAGGUUUUGUGGGAAUUGUUAGAUUCUAAGCCCACUUUUUUAGAGUAACCAACAUGAAAUCCCUUUCUUAAGUUGUCUUGAGAUCAUGAUAAAGAAGUAAGUAAUAGGCUCCUUAUCACGGUGCUCCACUAGAGUGGUAGUCAAACCAAUGGCUAAAUCUUCUUCUUCAAAGUAAAGGUAGGCGAAGACUUAUAGGUCUUUGAAAGGAGGUCACUUCAAGGGCACAUGAUCCAAGGGUCAAAUCCAGUUUACAAGUUCAGUUAUUCUCUAAAGAUAUUUCACUUAAAGUAGUUGGAAUAGAAGGUCAGAUAUAAGCUGUGGUAUAGCCAUUCAAGUCUGGGGGAAUGCCUUCUCACUUAGGAAGUUCCAAUCAAGCAGGCCAUCUCUAUCUCUCUUGAAAGCUUAAAGUACCUGAGGGAAAGAACUUUAUUUGAAAGUUCUUGCUUUUGGAAAUACAACGCCACAACCAAAAAGGAUAGUCACUUAUGAUGGUAGGAUCUGGUACUGGGGAUUCUAGUGCAUAGUCGGUAAGGAAGUCUUUAUUAAGUUUGCAGUGAAAAUCUUGUGCCAGCAGUUUCCUUUUGUUUAGUUGGUGAAAGCUAAGGUGGAAGUUGGUGGACAAAUAAGUAGAAGUUAAAUCAAAAUCAUCAUCUGCUUACAUCUUAAUCAACAUACUAAGCAGCAGGGAAGGGGGCGAAAGAAGGGCUUGACAUCACGAAAGGAAUUCAAUGAUUCUGAAGCCUUGGCAUAAGAAGAAGCAUGUUUGAAAAGAUAGAAGAAGAGUUUAAGAAGAAGGUCAUUGACUCUGUCUUCCACAAAACACGACACGAGGAGUUGCUAUUGAUGUCCAAACCCUCAAAAUGUUCAAGCUGCUCUUCGCUCUAAAACACGACACGAGCUGCUCUUGAUGUCUAAACCCUCAAGAAUACUUCAUUUGAUGUCUAAACCCUUACAGAAGCAGAGAUGUUUUCAGGAGAGGACUUUGUAACUUCUGUUCGAGGCUAAUUUUGAAGAUAGAUAAGCAAUCAUAGAGUGCUUGGAAAGACACUUGGUUCAAGAGUUCAUGCAAGUCUCUCCCUAAAAUGCUACCACUAGCUAUGGUAAGCCUCCGAGAACAAAUUCUACACCACAAUUAGGUAAAAACAGCACAUCAAAUCCAGAGGAAUAAAGCAAGAAAAUCAAAAGUGAGAAGCUGGCUGGAAACCAGAAUUGUUAACUGUGACUUGACAAAACUUAAGAAAGCGAAUGAAGACAAGCAAUAACAAAGGUGAUUGAAGGAGGUACCCACCCCAUUCUCCAUGAAACGUGCUGACUAAGAAAAGGACGUGAAGAUAAAGGCAUCUUAGGAGGAGAGGACGCGACUCACUAGGUUGGGGUUAGGUUUCAUAAAAGGAAUUCAAAGCUAUGAACAUGAGAGAAUGAGAAAAGCAAGGUGGCAGCAUGAAAUUCAAGUGCAUUUUCAGCUCAAAUCUCUUGGCUUGUAACAGGGUAAUUAAACUGGAAAGAUCAAUUCAAGGUCAAAGAAUCAGGUGCAAUGGCAAAAUAUCAGGGUGAGUCAUUUUUGGCUAAGUGACCGGAACAAAAAGGGCCUAGAUCAUAUCUAGAGUGCAUCCAAGGUCAAGCAAACCAAAAAGAAUCAGUGCAAAUUCUGAAAUGUAACUCUCCAUGCAUGCAAUCACACAAAAAUGAAAAAUUAAAGCUCAAAAUCUCUCAAGGUUGAUAUUUGUCAAAACUGAAAUGCUACUUCUCUAUCAUGAAAAACUACUUAACUCAUUUGAAUCAAAAUGCAAGAAAAGACCGCUUGAAAUCAUCUACUCAAAUUUAGAUCUAAUGACACACUCAGCAAUCUCAAACUAAACGAAACACAACUUUCAUCAUGUCAGUCCGCAAAAAGUAAGCAAAGAGUGAAACAAAACUACCUAGAACUACUAAAAAAACUAAACAAAAUACUAAGACAUAAUUAUUUUUCAAACAUACACAUUUUCACAACUGAAACAGAAGCUAAAAACAGAAAUAGAAAAAAAAAAUUGCCAAAUUUUUGUCAUACAAAAACACAUAACACAACAGUGGGAACAGAAAAAAAAAAGUGAAAGAGAGAAGUGGGCUACCAGCAGACAAUUAUUCAGCAAAAAGUACAAAAAAAAAUUAAAAACAAAAAAAUUAUUCCGCAAAAAGUACAAAAAAAAUUAAAAACAAAAACAAAAAGUAAAAAGAGAUAAGGAAAAAGAAAUCUUAAGUGAAAAUCAGUGUGCUAUUUUCUGAUCCAGUGGCGGUUUCUCCUAAAAGAUCUUCAAUUGGUGACCAUUGACUUUAAGGUCUUCCCAACUUCUGAUUUUCUGAUCUCUACUGCGGGAAUAGUUUGACUGCAUAAAACAAUUCAUGAUCAAAUAAGUUUCAUACUUGUCUGAAAUUUUACAGCAAAUUGACAUCCAAUAAAACAAUAUUCAGCCAAUAGAUCAAUACAUUUCUGCCUCAAUCUUUGUUUUGACACCAUGAGCAAUCUUUCCAACUUCAUCAAUAUCUUUCUCCAUCCUUUUCUUGAUGCUUGAAAAUAAUGUUAUAGAUCAUUUAGCACUAUUAAGUUUUGUUUGCAUGUAUUGUAAAUUCCAAAAGAAGUAUAUAAAAAUAUCAAAUUUGAAGCAUAAACCAUAGUUGUGAGAAAAGACAAUUUACCAUGUUUCUGUCUGGCUAUAGCAGCCUGACAAACCCAAGUUAAUAUAAUUUCAAUUCCAAUACAAAAAAUCCUUAAAAUGAAAUUGAUGAAAUAGAGAUGAAAAUGAGAAGUGAAAAGUGAAGAAAGAAACAUACAGAGAUAUGCAACCCUGGGA
Long non-coding RNA from Vigna angularis (adzuki bean), 5340 nucleotides. RefSeq lists it as uncharacterized. The record is from RefSeq and is a predicted model, not a curated record. Lineage: Eukaryota; Viridiplantae; Streptophyta; Magnoliopsida; Fabales; Fabaceae. The transcript has 10 exons.